GGACUACCCGGGUAUCUAAUCCCGUUUGCUCCCCUAGCUUUCGCGCCUCAGCGUCAGAAAAGGUCCAGUACGUCGCUUUCGCCACCGGCGUUCCUUCCGAUCUCAACGCAUUUCACCGCUCCACCGGAAGUUCCACCUGCCCCUACCUCCCUCCAGCCAAUCCGUAUCCGAGGCACUGUUCCGGUUAAGCCGGAAAAUUUCACCCCGGACGCGAUUGGCCGCCUACGCGCCCUUUAAGCCCAGUGAUUCCGAACAACGUUCGCACGGUUCGUCUUACCGCGGCUGCUGGCAC
This 292-nucleotide ribosomal RNA is filed under the name uncultured bacterium. Its description in RNAcentral is "partial 16S ribosomal RNA". RNAcentral also lists the same sequence under 2 other names. The record is from RNAcentral.